GACAGAGGGUGCAAACGUUGCUCGGAAUCACUGGGCGUAAAGGGCGUGUAGGCGGGACGGUAAGUCGGGCGUGAAAUCCCUAGGCUCAACCUAGGAACUGCACUCGAAACUACCAUUCUUGAGUGUCGGAGAGGAAAGCGGAAUUCCUGGUGUAGAGGUGAAAUUCGUAGAUAUCAGGAGGAACACCAGUGGCGAAGGCGGCUUCUGGACGAUAACUGACGCUGAGACGCGAAAGCGUGGGGAGCAAACAGG
This 252-nucleotide ribosomal RNA is filed under the name uncultured bacterium. RNAcentral's name for it is "partial 16S ribosomal RNA". It matches the Rfam family "Bacterial small subunit ribosomal RNA", at positions 524 to 776 of the family's 1533-position model. The record is from RNAcentral.